AUGCAGAGUCGUGCAACGUCCUGGCGUCCUGGCGAGGCACCUGGGGAGCACAUAUCCCCUCAAGUAGGAAAUGCACCACCUGAAAAUGCCACGGCAGACCUGGGUCUCCACUUGCACGCCGGCACUGGAGCAGACCUGAGUCCCCCUCUUGCGCCAGAGCCUCUCCAAGGGCCCCCUGUUGGCGCCUCCCCUGCCUCCUUGCUUGCCAGCAGCACCAGUGUGCGUGGGUGUGGCUUCUCUCCUCCACUGCUCUUGCCCCAGGCCACCAGGAAACAUGGGGCCAACGUCACCUUCUUGUCACACGGGGACGGCAGAAGCCACCCUGGCUGCCUCUCAGUGCCGACAGGCUCCACAGGGCUCCUCGCAGCGCUCGUCCUGCUGCGUUUCUUUCGCCAGCUUCCCCGCCCGUGCCGCGCAGGUGCCGUCCACACCCCCUGCCGCGCCAGCCACUGGCGUCAGGAAGGCACUGGGGCCGUCAGCUGUCUUACACGUCAGAAGGAACUUCUGCCCCCUUCGAGGUUGCCUGACAGGCAGUCCAGUCUUUCUCUUCACUGCAUCCCUCAGGGAAGCACGCCAUCUCCAUGCCAGGGGACUUCUGCCAGCUCGUGCUUUCUCACUUGGAAGUUGGCUAGUACUCAACCCUCUGAUGAAUGGAAGAGUAACAACUUGCUUUUCUCUCUGCUGAGGAGUGGACCCAUGGAGACAGGCAGCUUCGAGGGAGUCUCUCUUUCUAAGGCUCAGAAUUGGCAGAUGGGAGGUUAUAGAAACUUGUGGCCAAUUGAGAAGUUCUCAAACCAUUGCUGUCGACACGGAGGGAGCAAAGGGCAGAGCGUGGUGUGUGUGAGUCACUUCUUUGGGAUGGCCAUACCCCUGGCUGCAUCUGUUCCUGGCUAUGGUGCUGCUUUCUACCACCGGACACUCGGCACCGGAAGACAAGGUGUGCUGCCCGAGGCCACACGGCAACGGGUUGGAUGCCACACGUGGAAGCAGGUAUACGUGUGUUCCCCAGGGGCUGACAUCCUGUUUCCAGCACAUAGAAUGAGUCACAGAAAGCCUCUGCUGAGUCAUAAUGACACACCCAGAAGCCGAUGACACGCACCUAGGAGGUCGCAUACAGACAAGAAUUCCUGAGGGCUGCCCUCAGCCCAUGUUCACUGGGGAACACUGUGGAAGGGGAAGUGGCCGUGACAUUUGCUUUGGUUGCCACACUGGCAUUAUUUGAGCCUGUCCUGCCUGUGAGCUUCUGACUCUGACUUCUGACCUCAGGAGAAGCACACAUGGGACCAAGGAAGGGGCCCAGGCAUCCUGCGUGUGCCUUACCAGGCUGGCGACAAUGACAGCAGCUGAAAUCUCACGGAAUGCUUAGUAUGUUUCGAACUUGUCACCUCAGUGACCUCGGUGAGCCCUCCGGUGGCCCACGAGGGCCGCCACUGCCAGCCUCCUGCAGCUGGACCCGGGCUGUGUGGCCCCGUCCUCUAGGGGGCCUGUCUGGGCCGGCGCUGCCCACUGCAUGAAGCGUCCAUCCUGGGGGGCUUUUCUGUGGCAGGGGCUCCAUUUCACAGGCCUCCAGGGGUCCUGCCCUUGGAAGAAGUCUUCUCUAAUGUUCCUUUUCCUGGUCUAUUCCCCAGAUGCCCUCUUCCACUUCCAGAAUGCUUAGGCUUCUGUAUAAGAACAAUUUCUUAGAGCCCAAAGUGAGGUCAGGUGCAUCGGAGUAUGCAAGGAAGGACAGUGAAAUGAAAAUGUUGGGAAUAAAUGAAACAUCCUUAUAACUGCAACACGCUUGUGUUCUUAUGCAGCAAACUGGCUUAGAAACCUACAUUCUUCACCAUUUGUUUGUGUGUUGAUUUGGACCUGUUGGUGACAGGCAGCAAAGGACGAGCACCGUGGGAUGGGACAUAAGCAGGAAGGGACUCUCCCCCACCGAUAUCCAGCUCGUUAUUUUGAGUGUGUGAGCCUCUUAUGACACGACCUCCCGCCCAGGCUGCUCUGCAGUACCUGCCCGUGCAUCCUGUGCAUCCUGUGCAGGGGCAGCCUGCGCCCUUGCAGACCUCUCCUUUUAUUUUUCGGCAACAUAAUAGGAGGCAAAGGCCGAGAACUGCAGAGCCGUGUGCAGCGUUUGGAAGAGGCUGGGGCUGCGGGUGUGCACAGUGCAGAGGCUCUCACUGAUAUACCAUAAUAUUCAAUUUUUUAUUGCUAUCAAUUAAAGAGGUAAAAAAUACUUUAAUAUAAUUUUAUUUGACAUUUAUUUUAAGACAGGCCAAGACUUCUGUCCAAAUGUUUAAGGGCCAUUUAUAUAUUCUUUCUUUUUCCUUCAUAUUUUCCUACUCUGUUUUUUGACCCAUUGCUUGUUGAUUUGUAAGAACAUGGGUAUUUAUUAGAGAAAUACUUGCUUAGAAUGGUUCUUUUUCAUGCAGAACUUUUCAUAAUUAAAUUGCUACAAAGUUAUUAAUUUUUUUCUUUUAUAGCUCUUGGGUUAUGUGACAUAAUUUUAAAAGGCCUCUCCAUUGGACAAUUAUUAAAAAUAAAUUAUUCUGGCUUGGCCCGGUGGCUGACACCUGUAAUCCUACCACUCUGGGAGGUUGAAGGAUCACUUGAGCUCAGGAGUUCGAGACCAGCCUGAGCAAGAGCAAGACCCCGUCUCUAUAAAAUAUAGAAAAAUUAGCCAGGCAUGGUGGUACGCACCUGUAGUCCCAGCUACUGGGGAGGCUGAGGCAGGAGGAUUGCUUGAGCCCAGGAGCUGGAGAUUGCAGUGAGCUAUGAUGACACCACUGCAUUCUAGCUGGGGCUACAGGCUACACAGUGAAACCCUGUCUGAAAAAAAAAAACAACAACUCUGUAUCUUCUAGAAAUUUAUUGAAAUGUGUUCACAUGGAAUAUAUAAAAAUAUAUAUAUUUCAUAUGAAAUGGAAUAUAUAUUCCAUAUGAAUUUUAUUCUGAUCAUUAAAUGUGAUUUUUUCAAGGAAUCUAUAUUAUAAUGUUUUAAAAAUUGUGGUGCAAUAUACGUAAGACAAAAUUUUACCAUUUAACCAUUUUGAAGUGUACAAUUGAAUGGCUGGCAUAUUAACAAUAUAUACAACCAUCACCACUAUCUGGUUCCAGAGCUUUUUCAUUAUUCCUCAAGGAAACCCCAUGCACAUUAAGCAGUACCUCCCCAGGGACCCUCCCUCCAUCCCUGGGCAACCCCUCAUCUGCUUUCUGUCUGUGUGGAUUCGGUUAUUCUGGACAUUUCGUAUAAAUACAUACAAUAAAUAUAUAAAUAUAUGUGUAUAUAUAUAUAUAUACAUACAAUACACAUAUAUACACACAACAUACGUACACACAUACAUAUACAAAUAUAUGUAUAAAUAUAUGCAAUACGUUGUUCUGACUCCUUUGCCU
Molecule: long non-coding RNA, 3378 nt
Organism: Microcebus murinus (gray mouse lemur)
Lineage: Eukaryota; Metazoa; Chordata; Mammalia; Primates; Cheirogaleidae
Source: Ensembl